This 207-nucleotide long non-coding RNA is filed under the name Elaeis guineensis (African oil palm). RNAcentral describes it as "long non-coding RNA (EGUI_LNC009745)". The record is from RNAcentral. Lineage: Eukaryota; Viridiplantae; Streptophyta; Magnoliopsida; Arecales; Arecaceae.
GUGCUUGCUACGACUGAGGUUGAGGGAGAUGCUGUUGAAGCAGAGAGGGCGGCUGCUGAACUCUCGAAGCUCGAUGCUGAGAGAUCACUCUUCGGACAAAAUGAUUCAGCCGCCCCUGCCUAACAAGCCUCUCGUUCUCAUCGUGGAGCUGGUUGCAGUCUUCAGUAACGUGACCAUGGUCAUGAUGGUAAAAACAGUAUCUAUUCG